AAUAAACUGCCACCGGGCAGGAAAUGCUGAGAGCAUUCGGUUCGCUUCGUUAGGUCUUUGAAGAAGCGUACUGAGUGCAUUUUUUGUU
Molecule: non-coding RNA, 88 nt
Filed under: unclassified sequences
Source: RNAcentral